GUUCAAGUAGAUUAAGUUUUAAAAUUGUAAAGCUGUUAACUUUAAGAUGAUGUAUUGUCCUUGAUCG
This 67-nucleotide transfer RNA is filed under the name Notocotylus intestinalis. RNAcentral describes it as "tRNA-Asn". Lineage: Eukaryota; Metazoa; Platyhelminthes; Trematoda; Plagiorchiida; Notocotylidae. The record is from RNAcentral.